RNA transcript from Olea europaea var. sylvestris, 5144 nucleotides. It is a transcript of the gene named B3 domain-containing protein At4g01580-like, with no coding region annotated. The transcript has 6 exons. The record is from RefSeq and is a predicted model, not a curated record. Lineage: Eukaryota; Viridiplantae; Streptophyta; Magnoliopsida; Lamiales; Oleaceae.
UCACAAUUGAUUCAAAAAUGGCACCGUUUUAUGCUCUGCCACUCACGUCCCUUGUCUUCUUUAACAUGCCAUAUUUAUGUCAGACGUCAUAUCCUUUCAUCUUUCCCAUUCCUCCAUCUACUCUCACGCUAUCACAAAAAAAAUGAGACGACGACACCGCCAUUUGCUUUCUCUGCAGCGCAAAGGAAACGACGCCGAGUAGAAUAUCUGCUUCUAGAAACCAUCCAGCCUCUUCCACUCUCAUUUGCUUCUUUGUUUGACUGGAACUUCGGCCCUCUCUUUAUCUUGUUUCACAGUAAGUUCUCGGCCUAUUUUUCGCUGAUUUGUUCUUCAUGUAGCUCAAUCUUGCCGAGAAACUUCAUUUCCUGCUAGAUUCUUGCUUCUUUAUGGAUUUGUUUGUUACUUUUUGCAGUUUUAUUUAAGAUUUUUUUCUUUUUCCCUGUCUGAGAUGUGAAAAUUUUGUUGGGUUACUCUACAUUUGCUUCGAUCUACUUCAAAAGCCAAAGAUCCUGCUCAAUUUUUUUACGAUUUUUGUUAUCAUUGACUAUAUUCCAAUUCUGGCUGUCGUUUUUACUGUAGUUCUAGCAUAUUUCCAAGAGACAUUGCUACUAUUUGUAGUUCUAGCAUAUUCUGUAGUUUAUCCGUGUUUUUUUUUUCGCACAGCCUUAUCUCUUUUUCUCCAACCAAUGUCUCACUCUUCGAACUAUCCUCUCACAAAGGGUGUGCCACGACCAAGCACAAAAUAGAAGUUGAGUUUUAAGAAAAGGGCAACAACCUUGAAAAUUAAACAGUCGAGAAAUAUGCGCAAACGUACCGGAUUAUAAUAAGGAUCCAUUGUUUCUCUAUGCAUUUUAAAUAAUCGAUUUUCAUUUUCAUUUUUUUGUUAAUUAAUUGUUGUUAACUCUUAUUUUUUUAUCGGUGUACUACGGAUGAAUGACUUUCUAUUUGACACAUAAAUUUGCUAUUUAUUUGGGGAGUUCUGAUUGGCAAACUCAUUUCUGGUCUCAUUUUUGUUCUCUUUCUUUGGGCAUUCUUUUUUUGAGAAUAAAUUGGAGAUUUCAAAGAGAGUAGGGAUUUUGAAAUGAAGACAUUUUAUGUUCACAACUUUUCAUUUGGGUGUUGUGUUUGGGGUCGUCAAAGCACCCUUCUUGUUAUUCUUUUUUAGAUUUUAAUCUAAUCCUUGCAAUAUUUUUGUGAUAUUAAAAAAUAUGAACAAGGAAUCGAAAGAAUUUUCUGGAGAAAAAUGUGACAUUUAUUUUUUGCUCUUGUGUGGGUUAUUGAAACAUUGCUUCUGUGACAAAUAUCACCUUUUCUACUUGGGACAAACCCUCUUCGGCUCUUCCAACUUCCAGACUUCAGCCGCAACGUUUGAGGACUGAGGUAAAUUAUUUAGUUUUUUGGUUUAAUUUCAAUAAGUAAUUACAAUGUGACUUUAGUCUUGUUUGGGUUGAUUCUGUUUUGUUGCAAUUAAUGUUCCUUUAAAAUUAACAAUGUGUAUUUUAUUCUUUAGAGCUUUGCUGAAAACCUGUGCCCAUUUACUAUUUCUUUAAUUUGUUUAGUCUUCUUAAGUUCAAACCUACUCUUAUAUAUAUUUUUAAUCAGACUUUCCACCAUUUCGUCUUUGUUUCUUAUAGUUCAUGAGAUUCUAUCUUCCAAUAUUCAUCGUGUUUGUAUCAAAGUAUUUGUUUUAUGAGAACUGCUUUGCAAUUUGCUCAAUUUUCGAACAGUAAGUUAUCUGAAGUGAUCAUACUUGAUCUUUUAAAUGCUUGACUUCUUGUGUUGUCCACUUGUAAAUGCUCGUCUCUGGUUGCUGCAGUGCUUCUGUGUUGUGCAUUUCUUUGCAACUUCUCUCGGCCUUUCCUAUCUCGUUUUAUAUUCCUUAACACUCGAAUCAACAUAAUAUGCGACUCUGUUUGUAGACUCACAUAAGCUUGUUGAUUAAGAAUGUCUAAAUGAUGUGAAUAAAAUUUGUUUUUUUGUGGGUUUUAACUUUAACAAAAGACAUUUACAUUCAUUGAUUGCAUCACUAACAAAACAAAAAGUAUGUGCUUGAUGUGAACCCAAAAGUAAGAAAAAUAAUAGAGUGUAACAAUCUGAUUAUACUUGGUGCAAGAUCAGAUUAAAGCAUAGUUCGAGGAGCUUAGGUCCAUGAGGAAUUUUUUUUUUUGUUCCAAGAUCUUUUUUGGCAUUUAGAUCUAUAUAUUUGUUGGCAUUUAUGGAUUUACAUAUAUUUUCUACAAGUAAUAUAUGACUAUGGAUUCUUGCACAUCUUAUUGUAUUCUACUGAAGUAUUAUGCAUGCUCUAAUUCUAAGUACAGCCUUGCAAUUUUUCUCAAAAUUAUGUUGCAUUUGUGCCAUUUUUUCAAUCGUAUAAUUUAUUUUAUGUUGUUCAUUUACUUUAAUUCAAAUGGGUUGCCAAUUCGCAGAAUAAUCUUCUAAAAAAUUUAAGUUAAAGGAGCAUUGGUUUUCAAUUUUAUGUUUUCACCAUUUGUCUAAAUUUGGGGUAGUAGGAGUAAUUGAUUAAAAAUUGAAAAUUUCAGCUUUGGAAAAGAACGAUUAGAGAUUUUGGACUAGAAUUUAUGUAUAGAUGGAUUAACUUUCUAUUGUACAUUUGUCUGACAACAAUUCUUUGACAUGUUUGGACAAUAAUUCUUGUAUAAUCUAUAUGUUGUCUCUGUAGUAUAGAUAUUAUGUCAAACAGAACUGAUCUACCACACCGUUUUGUUCAAGCUAUCAAACUUUCGUUGGACCAUAAUGUUCGCUUGGUAAGUCUUCAAAUGAUCUCUUUGUCACCAUUUACUGAUAAUUAAUGAAAUUAUAUACCAAGUAAACCAUAUUUUCAUGAGACUUAUAUCUUUUUCCUAUAGUUGCUUCCUAGAUCUUUUGUAGAAUGCUCAGGACGUGACCUUGGUGAUACAGUACGUUUAACUGGUUACGAUGGAAUUAUUUGUAACAUACAGUUGGAGAGAGCUGAUGAUAAUAUAUAUCUUGGUACCGGAUGGCCACAAUUCUUUGAUCACCAUAACUUAGAAGAUGGUUAUGUUCUUGUCUUUGAAUAUAACGGAAAUUCUACUUUCGAUGUUUCGAUAUUCGAAUGUUCAGGCGUGGAAGUAACGUAUGAGUCUGAUAGAGACUUCACGUACUGGUACUCCUAUCUUCCGAGUAACAUUAGAAGCUAAUCGCGAUGGUCAUUGAAAAAUUGUAUGCUCCUUUGUAACUUAAAUCUUUCCUGAACUACACAAAACAUUUCCAUACUUAUCAUUCUUGCUGAAUUCUGGAUUUAACUAUUUAUAGAUUUGUCAUUUUGCUUUGUAGUACGUACCUGGGACCUUCGCUCGAUUGUUCUUACCAGCGUCUGUCCAGAAUGUUCAAAUCCAUGAUUGUUCACAUUAUAAAUGUCCAUACGUACAAACUUAAGAACAAAUGGUUAUCUGCGAUCUUUUACCGUAGGUUGGGCAUAAUAUGUUAGAGAGAAGCAACUUCAAAUAGGUGACACAUGUGUCUUUGAACUUAUGAACGAUGAAAUCCCCAUGUUCAUGGUGUACAAAGUGUCCAGCAUUGAUGGAAGUUGGACUCUUACAUAAACUGUACAUUUCCAUUUGCGGCUUUCGUAUUUACUUAUUAUCGGAUAUUUAUCUGUUUUCUUCUGUACAAACACUCCAUGACUAAUCUAUUGGGUAUCGAAAUUGUAAUUUGCCUAUUCUUUUUUGGUUUCAAAUUGGCAUUGAAUUUGUACAUUUAAAUUUAUUCUUAUUAAAUUCGAUUGAAAACAAUCUAAACAAAAUACUAUGAGUCUAUAUGAAUAGUAUUUCCGCCUAACUCAAUUUUUAGGUAUUUCUUUCGGUGCGCCUACAUUUAGCUUUCAAGGGUAUACCUUCGUGCCACUAAAAAUGUUUAUUCUUACUUCAUGUAUGCUCUAAUAUAUAAUUGGUUUUUUUCCUGUAUCUCCACUUCAAAUGCGCUUUAAUUCUUACACUUCUACUUACUUCAUGAAGCUCCACAUUUUUCUACAGGUAUAUCUAAAGAGUCAAAUAUGAAUGAUAAUACUUGAGCUUCUUCCAAAGCAUUUAUCACUAAAUUUAGAAAGAACUCUCCUGAAAGAUUACCAUAAUUUGAAAGAACAAUUAAAUAUCUUCAUGGAAAACUUAUCUUUUGUUUAUAACUACAAAGUGAACAUUAUAGAACUCAAACAAGAGAUGACUUCUCUGUCAACAUAUUUGAUUGUUCUUUUAGAUUGUGUUAUUAUUUUAGGAGAGUUCUUUUUUAAGUUUGGUGAUAGUUACUUUGGAAGAAGCUCAAACUUUAGACUCCAGCAUAUUUCAUAUUAAGAGUUGAAAAUAUCUCUAUGCCUCAGAAGCCCAGGUCUAGAAAUAGGUGGUCAGCUGAACUUGGAAACAAGGAUUCGGUUAGCUGAACUUGGCAACAAGGAUCUAGGUGGCUCAUGCGGCUCUCGAGCAUCGCUUGAAGGUAACACAAUAAAAAAGGAUUAUUGCAUUCAGGCCCUCUGAAAUGUGACGAUGAGUUAGAGAUUAUUGGAAGGACAUUAAAAAGGAACAGUGUGUCUGUCACUGUAGUUAACUUUGAUGAGGAAGAUGAGGAAAUGCCCUUUUUGACAUGCUGACCCCAUGUUGCAAAGUACUGCUCUAUUUUACUUGAUGGCAGUAUUGUUGCAAAGAAAAGACGCAUUAGAAUGGGCUCAUACAGGAAAAGAUGCCGUCAAGUCAAUCUGGUUCUUGCCUGUUCUAAAAAAUAUUAUACUUUGUUUCUUCUUUUCUUAGGUUUGUACCCUUACUUAAUGCAAUCAUUUACCGUGGUGAUAGAGAGGUCACGGAAGAAAUUAAAAGCACAUGCCAGAAAUAAUAGAGCCCAGACACUAUUACUUUCUACUCAGUUCUGGAAACUGCACCUUUGUUGUGUCUUAUGUAUAGUUAUCUUUGAUCUCUGUGUACCUUUGAUUAUGUCAAUUUAUCUUCGAGAUAUCUGGUUAUCUUUAACGUUGAUGUUCCCAAUGAUUUUAAUUCUUUAUGCACUUUCACCAACAAAUGUACAAGAACUUUCAUACUUCUAACUUGUAACUUUGUUUUGUUUUGUAGCACUACUUUUGCACAAAACCUCUUCAAUGAAGUUUAAAUUUAGCAGGAGUG